RNAcentral lists this ribosomal RNA (164 nucleotides) under uncultured bacterium. RNAcentral's name for it is "partial 16S rRNA". It matches the Rfam family "Bacterial small subunit ribosomal RNA", at positions 355 to 511 of the family's 1533-position model. The record is from RNAcentral.
UAGGGAAUCCUCCACAAUGGGCGAAAGCCUGAUGGAGCAACGCCGCGUGUGUGAUGAAGGGUUUCGGCUCGUAAAACACUGUUGUAAGAGAAGAAUGACAUUGAGAGUAACUGUUCAAUGUGUGACGGUAUCUUACCAGAAAGGAACGGCUAAAUACGUGCAAG